UUACAGAUGGAUGACCUAGUCU
RNAcentral lists this small nuclear RNA (22 nucleotides) under Arabidopsis thaliana (thale cress). Its description in RNAcentral is "snRNA_11689". Lineage: Eukaryota; Viridiplantae; Streptophyta; Magnoliopsida; Brassicales; Brassicaceae. The record is from RNAcentral.